RNAcentral lists this ribosomal RNA (164 nucleotides) under uncultured bacterium. Its description in RNAcentral is "partial 16S rRNA". It matches the Rfam family "Bacterial small subunit ribosomal RNA", at positions 355 to 511 of the family's 1533-position model. The record is from RNAcentral.
UAGGGAAUCUUCGGCAAUGGACGCAAGUCUGAUGGAGCAACGCCGCGUGAGUGAAGAAGGUCUUCGGAUCGUAAAACUCUGUUGUUAGAGAAGAACACGAGUGAGAGUAACUGUUCAUUCGAUGACGGUAUCUAACCAGCAAGUCACGGCUAACUACGUACCAG